RNAcentral lists this ribosomal RNA (119 nucleotides) under Musa acuminata subsp. malaccensis (wild Malaysian banana). The record is from RNAcentral. Lineage: Eukaryota; Viridiplantae; Streptophyta; Magnoliopsida; Zingiberales; Musaceae.
AGUUGAGAUCAAACCAGCACUAAAGCAUUGGAUCCUAUCAGAACUCCAAAGUUAAGAGUGCUUGGGCAAUAGUAGUACUAGGAUGGGUGACCCCCUGGGAAGUUCUUGUAUUGUACUCU